GUUUCUAAUCGACUUUACUUGUGUAUUUUAAGCUUUUUUGUUGCUGUGCUUUUUCUGGAGAUUUGAGUUGGAUUGGAAAGCUCCUGUGUAAGGUACCCUUUUCUAAAGAAAUAUAGAAGUAAUUUGUACAAUUAUAACGCGCCGAGCUGUGUUUUAUUUUAUUGUUUCUAAAAAGAUGUAUAUUAUCAAUUUUAAUUGGUUUUAUCCAAAUCAAGAUAAGGCUUAAUCACACGAAAGAUUGUGUACAAUGGGAGUGAGUGAUGUAAUCUUCCAAUGCGUGUAGUGAAAAGAAGGCGAAACCGUUAUUGUUUUUCUGCCCAAAAUUGAAGCUAUUUAAUAAAUCUUGAUAAAGUUAAAAAAACUGUUUUGAUUUGUUUGUUUUUGUUUUAAUUGUUUCCCAUGAGUUUUCGAAAUUCGUUCCAGCAGAUUCUGUGGCUUCUAGUGCCGGUAUUUUUACGUGAAAAAAAAUACUGUUUUGUUGUAAGGUCAUUUACGAAAUCGUUAACGUUAGGACCAACUUCUGCGGGUUGUACAACUCGAUGUAUUACAUAUCUUUCGGAAUACUGCUAAAAGUGUAAUUUUGUAUUGCGCUCUUUACUUUUAUCAUUCUGUGGGAAAAGGCGGUACAAAAUUUUAACACGCGUUAUUCGUUUUUGUUAGUUUCGCGUAAUCUAAUUUUCUCGCACAUUUUGAAAAGAAUAUCCCACGCACAUCAAAUAC
Molecule: long non-coding RNA, 720 nt
Organism: Hydractinia symbiolongicarpus
Lineage: Eukaryota; Metazoa; Cnidaria; Hydrozoa; Anthoathecata; Hydractiniidae
Exons: 2
Source: RefSeq, a predicted model, not a curated record